Chinchilla lanigera (long-tailed chinchilla) is the source of this 774-nucleotide long non-coding RNA. RefSeq lists it as uncharacterized. The record is from RefSeq and is a predicted model, not a curated record. The transcript is spliced from 3 exons. NCBI's taxonomy places the organism in Eukaryota, Metazoa, Chordata, Mammalia, Rodentia, Chinchillidae.
UACACCCCCCAGCAGCGUAGAAGGGCUCCUUUGUACCCCUGAUCUCAGCAGUGUUUACUGGUUUUUGUAUUCUUGACAACAGCCCCUCUGACUGGGGUGAGAUGGAAUCUCAGUGUAGUUUUGACUCCCACUUCCUGAGCAGCUAAAGUUCUUUUCACAUUUUAGAUCUUCAUCUUCUGUUAAGCGAAAUAAGCCAGAAUCAAAAAGGUGUCACACGUUUCCAUUCAUAUGUGGGAUCAAAGCGAGAGGAGCAUGAAAGCAGAGUGGACACUGUCGCUGCACAAGAGGACACUUUCACGGGGCUGUUUUUACUCAACGCCAACCCACUCAGGGUCCAGAAGACACGGACCGACACGCAGCAGGCAGUGCAGAGCCCGCAGGAGGCCACCAGCGCAGGGAUCGGGCGCUGCGAGCCCUGGGGGGCGGAGGCUGGCCACCGAGUCUGGCACACCCCUGGGUGCCAGUCCCUGGACCCAGGCGCAAGCCCUGGACGCCAGCCAAGGAGCCGGGUGGAGGGGCAACGCGAAAGUACGCAUGCGCAGGGCGAGCUCCAGCCCAGGCCCGCAAAGAUUGCGUUUCCCAUAAGACCCCGCAGGCAUCCUCACGCAAGUCCUGCUGAGAAAGCGGUUGAUUUUUGAAGACUUGACGUCGUCCUUGUCAUUGUUUUAACUUUCCUGUAGGGCUCAGGGUGAAUGAGUGAAACCCGCUUGAAGGCCUAAGCAUUUUUUUUUGAGACCGGGUCUCGCUAUGCAGAGGCUGGCCUUGAGCUCACUU